Molecule: unclassified non-coding RNA, 253 nt
Filed under: uncultured Phycisphaeraceae bacterium
Lineage: Bacteria; Pseudomonadati; Planctomycetota; Phycisphaerae; Phycisphaerales; Phycisphaeraceae
Description: contains 16S-23S intergenic spacer region
Rfam family: Bacterial small subunit ribosomal RNA
Source: RNAcentral
UACAGAGGUCUCAAGCGUUAAUCGGAAUCACUGGGCUUAAAGGGUGCGUAGGCGGACCCGCAAGUGUCUUGUGAAAUCCCAGGGCUCAACCCUGGAAUAGCUUGACAUACUGCGGGUCUUGAGCUCGGCAGGGGUCGUCGGAACGCUAGGUGGAGCGGUGAAAUGCGUAGAUAUCUAGCGGAACGCCAAAGGUGAAGACAGACGACUGGGCCGACGCUGACGCUCAUGCACGAAAGCGUGGGGAGCAAACGGG